GACAUGGGCAGGAGCUGCUGGCCCGGAGCCACUAUGCUGCUGAGGAGAUCUCAGAGAAGCUCUCCCAGCUACAGUCCAGGCGCCAGGAGACAGCUGACAAGUGGCAGGAGAAGAUGGACUGGCUGCAGCUUGUUUUGGAGGUGCUUGUGUUUGGGAGAGAUGCAGGGAUGGCAGAGGCCUGGCUGUGCAGCCAGGAGCCAUUAGUUCGAAGUGCAGAGCUGGU
Peromyscus leucopus (white-footed mouse) is the source of this 223-nucleotide long non-coding RNA. RefSeq lists it as uncharacterized. NCBI's taxonomy places the organism in Eukaryota, Metazoa, Chordata, Mammalia, Rodentia, Cricetidae. The transcript has 3 exons. The record is from RefSeq and is a predicted model, not a curated record.